GUGCUCGCUUUGGUGGCACACAUACCAAAAUUGGAAUGAUACAGAGAACGUUAUCCCAGUUCCUGCAUGAGGAUCACGUGCAAGUUUGUGAAGUGUUAAAAAAAAAA
This 107-nucleotide small nuclear RNA is filed under the name Colobus angolensis palliatus. The record is from RNAcentral. Lineage: Eukaryota; Metazoa; Chordata; Mammalia; Primates; Cercopithecidae.